CCUACGGGAGGCAGCAGUGGGGAAUAUUGGGCAAUGGGCGCAAGCCUGACCCAGCAACGCCGCGUGAAGGAAGAAGGCUUUCGGGUUGUAAACUUCUUUUCUCAGGGACGAAGAAAGUGACGGUACCUGAGGAAUAAGCCACGGCUAACUACGUGCCAGCAGCCGCGGUAAUACGUAGGUGGCAAGCGUUAUCCGGAUUUAUUGGGUGUAAAGGGCGUGUAGGCGGGAGCGCAAGUCAGAUGUGAAAACUCAGGGCUCAACCCUGAGCCUGCAUUUGAAACUGUGUUUCUUGAGUGCUUGAGAGGCAAUCGGAAUUCCGUGUGUAGCGGUGAAAUUCGUAGAUAUACGGAGGAACACCAGUGGCGAAGGCGGAUUGCUGGACAGUAACUGACGCUGAGGCGCGAAAGCGUGGGGAGCAAACAGGAUUAGAUACCCUAGUAGUC
RNAcentral lists this ribosomal RNA (443 nucleotides) under uncultured bacterium. RNAcentral describes it as "partial 16S ribosomal RNA". It matches the Rfam family "Bacterial small subunit ribosomal RNA", at positions 338 to 795 of the family's 1533-position model. The record is from RNAcentral.